Molecule: ribosomal RNA, 521 nt
Filed under: uncultured bacterium
Lineage: Bacteria
Description: bacterial SSU rRNA
Rfam family: Bacterial small subunit ribosomal RNA
Source: RNAcentral
AAUAGAUACCCAGGUAGUCCACGCCGUAAACGUUGGGAACUAGAUGUGGGGUCCAUUCCACGGAUUCCGUGUCGCAGCUAACGCAUUAAGUUCCCCGCCUGGGGAGUACGGCCGCAAGGCUAAAACUCAAAGGAAUUGACGGGGGCCCGCACAAGCGGCGGAGCAUGCGGAUUAAUUCGAUGCAACGCGAAGAACCUUACCAAGGCUUGACAUGCACCUGAAAAGGCUGGAAACAGUCUCCUCGCAAGACAGGUGCACAGGUGGUGCAUGGUUGUCGUCAGCUCGUGUCGUGAGAUGUUGGGUUAAGUCCCGCAACGAGCGCAACCCUCGUUCUAUGUUGCCAGCGCGUCAUGGCGGGAACUCAUAGGAGACUGCCGGGGUCAACUCGGAGGAAGGUGGGGAUGACGUCAAAUCAUCAUGCCCCUUAUGUCUUGGGCUUCACGCAUGCUACAAUGGCCGGUACAAAGGGCUGCAAUACCGUAAGGUGGAGCGAAUCCCGAAAAAGCCGGUCUCAGUUCGGA